Molecule: long non-coding RNA, 1111 nt
Filed under: Gossypium barbadense (sea-island cotton)
Lineage: Eukaryota; Viridiplantae; Streptophyta; Magnoliopsida; Malvales; Malvaceae
Description: long non-coding RNA (GBAR_LNC000453)
Source: RNAcentral
AAUAAACACAAUUAAAAACUAUUCCAGAAGCUUGUAAAGUAAAAUGAAUUGGCAGAAAUGAAACUUAGCUCUGGUAACCCUUCUUCUCCCUCAUUUAAACCAAAACCCCCUUGUAUCAGCCAUUGAAGAGACCCAUUCCCUCCCAGAAUCAAAUCUUUCUAGAGCCACAGUCUCUGACAAAAUCUCGAGUUCAUCGGGCAAUCAAAAUCACUGAGCCCGGACUCUACCUCUUCAUCUAUCCUCCAUAACCAUCGUUUCGUCUCUCUUGAUUCACCAGGUUUUCCACUGCAGGCGGUACCUUCUCUAUCCAGUAUCGAGGGUGCUAAAAUCGGAUUCCUUCCUUUGCCAUCUCAUGAGUAGCGUUGUUGGCUUCCCUAGGUACGUGCUUGAAACACAAUCUCCUAAACUUGAAAACUCUCCCCUUGAUUUCUUUAAUCAAACUGCUAAUACACGAUCGAUCUUCUUCUGCAGAGUUCAGUUUUCGUAUAAUAGUAAGCGCAUCUCCUUCAACACAAACAUCCUAAAAACCCAGCUCUUCUGCCAUUACAAUAGCUUGUAAACAUGCCCGUGCCUCAUCCAUUAAUGGAUCUAAAAUAUUAUCCCAUGGAAAGUUACAGGCUGCCAUAGGCAAACACUCUUUAUCUCGUGCAAUGAUACCUGAAAUAGAGCUUCUUGUGAUUCGGUUAAAUGAGGCGUCGAAAUUAAUUUUGAUGGUGUCAUUAUCCGGCGGUUGCCAGACUGAGUCUUUAAUUUCAUGUGUAUUUUGUAAUAUCUCCCCCAUACUAGAAAUUUCUGCAUAGUAAGCCUUGACAAAUCCAACAACUUCAUGUACCUGCUCUCUGACUCCUUCAUGAUAUAGAUUGUUGCGAUUAUACCAGAUGGCCCAGUAAGCGAUAGAUUUAAUGUUGCAUGCUUCCAGACUCGUAUUUUCAAAAUCCGCUACUAACCAUGUUUUCCAAUUGGCUUGUCUGUUGCAUGUUGAAAAUGGCAUCUCCAAACCCCGCAAAACCUGCUGUGUGAAGGGACACUCCCUAAAAAGAUGGUACACCGACUCCUCCUCAGAUCUGCAUACCGGACAUAAAGGAUUGACAGCCAAUUGGCGAGCUUUUAG